AUUUAAAUAAUUUAAUUAAAAUAUUGAUUUGUGGAGUCAAAAAUAUGAUAUAUCAUUUUAAAUU
This 64-nucleotide transfer RNA is filed under the name Griseosphinx preechari. RNAcentral's name for it is "tRNA-His". Lineage: Eukaryota; Metazoa; Arthropoda; Insecta; Lepidoptera; Sphingidae. The record is from RNAcentral.